This is a long non-coding RNA of Myotis daubentonii (Daubenton's bat), 4545 nucleotides long. RefSeq lists it as uncharacterized. The transcript has 2 exons. The record is from RefSeq and is a predicted model, not a curated record. NCBI's taxonomy places the organism in Eukaryota, Metazoa, Chordata, Mammalia, Chiroptera, Vespertilionidae.
ACUUGCACAGGGUUACGUAGUCAAUAAAUACCUUGUUGGCCAGUCCUUCACUUCGUCACUCAACUAUCAGUUACCGCAAGCCCACCACAAAGCUAGGAGAAACGUGCUACAAGCAGUGAGCAAGGGGAGGACUUCCCCCAGGUGAGUGUGACGCACAAGGAGGGGCAGGGGCAGCUGCUGGGGACCUGUGGGGGGACCACUUCCAGCUGUGCCUUCACAGAGGCCUCAACUGCUGAGGGCGACUUCACCUAAGGUCACACCCUUCCCGGGCACUCGGAUCCCUCCCUCAACUGGACAGGGAGGGUACAGAGGCCUGGCCACCUGGCUCAGUGUGGGACAAUCGUGAUGUGGGCCGCUUUAGCCCUCAAGCUCCUGGUUUCAGUACCUGCAUCACAGCUUGGCUUCUGCUUCGGGUCAAUCCUGCUUUCGUUCCUCCCCUCCACAGCGGUAGCUGCCUAGGUACUUCCUUAUGAACAUUCUGCCCCUCAACUCAGCCUCAGCAUCCCCUUUCCAAUUUACAACAGCAGGGAGAGGGGAGAGGCCAGGACCUGAAGGCAGGAGGGGUGGGGAUCCACAUUAUAUCCAUUUAGAAAGUGAAAAAGGACUAUCAUGCUUGUAACAUAAUUGGCAGAGUCUGCAAACCCCACCAAAGCCUUGUGGCUAGGAGGGCAAAGGCCCCAAAACUGCUGUUAAAAAGGCUCAUCCUACUCUUACCAGCUGUGUGACUGCGGGCCACUUUGACCCUCAGUUUCCUUGUCUGUGAAAAGACAUUUUCACAUUUUAAGAAAUUAGUUGAGAAAAAGCACGUUUUACAUUUUAAGAUGCUGUACAGACAUUACUGCUCCUUUCAACUGCUUUUUGAUUCUGAAGAGUUGCCAUUAAUGCCUAACUGCUGGCAACUCAAUCAGAAUGUCAAGAGAAAGCGAUGCCAGCCACUGGUGGCCAGUAAUUACUGUUCUCUUUUCCUGUUUUUCUCAACUCAGUGACAUGAGGCUGAGAUAGAGCGUAUGUGUUUUACGAGUACACUGCAGAGUUAUGGUCCAUGCUCUUAAUUUAAAGACUGGGUACAUGAAACCCAUCAUUAACCUACUUUUUAUUUGUACGUAGGUGAUACUUACUCUUGUGAGGCUGGGACUCAAUAAAAAUAAAAAGAAAAAAGAAAGUUUCCACGCUUGCCAUAGGAAGCCAUCGUAAACCUGAGCUGGGGGUCGAAUCACAACGAGAAAUUCAGUGACUUGUUCUGAACUGGCCCCUGCUGGAAAGGCCGCCCCCCACGGCGCUCUGCCGGGAAGACCCCCAUCUCACCCUCCACACGGAUCCACAGCCUCAGCGUGGGCACCUCAGCUAGAACCGGGUUCUCCUGUGUCUAAAAUCCCACGGCCCCGCGUUUCCUCUCAUGGCACUUAUCCUAUUCUAUCUAAAACUACAACUAUCUGGAUCGUUUCUUUCCUACUGGGCUGUGAAGGUAUGAUGCGUGUCCCCCAGCUGUUAGAUCCCCGUUGCCACUGAUGUAAGCCCAUGGGAAGGCUUGCCGAGUUGAUGAAGGCAGUGGGGAGGGGAAGAAAGGAGCCAGGCUUUUCUCUUCCUGCUACCUCUCCGAAGCUCUGCUAACCGGCAACCUGAUUUCUAAGUCUGUACUGGGCCCUGAACACUGUGAUGGCGAGGCUGACACUGAAAACACUCUUUGUGCACAGUCCCCGCUGGCUUCGCUGGCCCUUUCAUUUCCUCAUCUGGGGGAGGGAGGACUGAGACCUGCUUUGGCAUUUAGGUCGGAGGAACCUUCAACGACCAAGAGCGGUGUGGUGCCUAUGAGAAAGAUGACAUCCGAGGGACAGGGGUGAAGGCCAGAGAAUUCUGAGACUGGUCUCUAGGCUGGAGGCAAGCUGGAGUCAUCGGGUCUCAGAGACUCGAGGAGCCAGAGAAAGAGAGAGGUGUCCUGUUUGGCCUGGGUGGUUUUUAAUGGCAGUUUAUAAUAAUUAUAGCUCAGAUUUACGGAGCGCUCACUCAGGGCCAGGCACCACAUACAUGAUCUCAAUUAAGUUGCUCAGCAUUCUUACAGGAGGAAACUGAGGCACAGAGAGCUCCAGCAACUUGCCUUGAAGUCACACAGCUGGCACGCAACAGAAUCAGGAUUUGGUUGCAGGCAUUUCUGCUUCAGAGCCAUUUCUCAGGCGCUAUCUUGCUAUUUGCUUGCGUCUCUAGAACCAUGGGUGUCUCCCAGAAGCUGUCCCCUGAAAACUGGGGGCUCCUGUGCUGGCUGGCUUCGGGCAGGGUUCACCAGUGGGAGAGGGAGCAGGAGACUGGAGGGCAAGCAAAGGGGAGGCCAAGGCAUUUCUUUUCCAAUCUCCUCCUCACCUCACUGAGCUCCCCUAACUCUCUUUCCACCCCUGCCUGCUGGUAGUCUCUGGGUACCCCCACCCCUGCCUGCUCCUGCAAGAAGUCAUUCAUGAAGUCCCUUCAGGGAGCCAUCUAGGGCGAAUGCUGCUUCCCGCCGGCACCACCACUACUCACACGGCUCCCACCUGCUUCACACCGUGUCACACACAGGAGACCGGCAGUGGUGGGAAGAGCUGGCUCCACGCGAAUAAAUGAAGCUGCUGUCUGAUCACGUUAUCAUGCAGGACAGCUGGCCACAACACAAGGUACGUAUACAGAAAUAUUUAUAGAAGGGCUCUGCCUCCUCCAGAGCCUGGGGCCUCCUUCCCAUCACAGCUCUUCAAAUAUUUGAGCUGGCGAUCUUGUUCCCUCUUCAGUCUGACCAUCUCCACUUGGAACAUCCCCAUUCUGGUCAAUCGUUUCCCGAAUGAUUUCCCACCCUGGGGGCAGAAGGGUUCCUGUCUGGAACCAAAGCAAGUUCCAGAAUGACCCAGAAGGACAGGAGUUUCCUGGAGAUUCAACCCCCAGCUUUGGGGCAAUAAGAGCAAAGCGUCUGUUGAACUAUAACGUGCCACGAACUAUACGAAUGCACCGUGCUAUUUAAUUCCCACCAGAGCUCUUCCAGAAAGGCUGCCCGGGUAGAAUGGAGCGGGGAGGGUGUGACCAUCAGCUGUGCGUGUUAACGUGGCAUGUGGCUGGCUAGGCUGAAUUGUAGUACACAGCUGCUUAAUCAAACACCAACCGAGGUGUUGAAGGUAUUUGGUAGAUGUGGCUGAUAGCUACAACCAAUCAGGUGACUUUGAAGCAGCGGUUCUCAACCUGUGGGUCGCGACCCCUUUGGGGGUCGAACGGCCCUUUCACAGGGGUCGCCUAAGACCAUUGGAAAACACAUAUAUAAUUACAUAUUGUUUUUGCGAUUAAUCACUAUGCUUUAAUUAUGUUCAGUUUGUAACAAUGAAAUUGGGGGUCACCACAACAUGAGGAACUGUAUUAAAGGGUCGCGGCAUUAGGAAGGUUGAGAACCACUGCUUUAAAGAGAUCAUCUUCGAUAAUCUGAGUGAGCCUCACCCAAGCAGUUGACAGGCCUUCGGAGCAAAACUGAGGGAGGUUUCCCUGAGGAAGAGGAAAUCCUGCCUCAAGCCUGCUGAAUUCCAACUACCCUAGAGUUCGGACUUGCCAGCCUCUACAACCGCGGCAGCCACUGCCUUGAAAUCAAUCGUAUGUAUGUGUGUGUGUGUGUGUGUGUGUGUGUGUGUGUGUAUCAUAGCUUCAAGUUAUAUUGGUAUAAUAUAUAUUAUUCGUAUUUUACUGCUUCUGUUCCUUGGAGAGCCCUUAUUGAUAGAGUCAUACCCAAUCUCAAAAGGUCACACCCCUGUGACCAUAGGUCAAGCCUCUAUGCCACUACUUAUACUGUGCCCUCCACCACCUGCAACUGAACCCAAACAACCCUGGUGUGUACCUGAGUCUCCCCAGUGUCAGCUGCCCACCAGUGUAUUUGAACAGUAACAUGGAUCCUUAGCUAGAUUUUGAGAAUAAACUAUUCAGAUAGAAAGGCACAAAUGUAUGGGAGAAGUUUGUUUUUAUAGCGCGUCAUUCUGUAGUGGGUGGGAAGUAGGGUUAACUCAGUGCUUAAGAACAGUAACCUGUUCUAUUCUGGGCAAGGGCGCUAACUUGCUGUGUAACUUUGGGCAAUCCUGUUUCACCACUUGAUUCAUUAUAAUGCCAACCUGAAAGCCUGCUGCCCCCAUCCACUCAAAUUGGCAUUAAGUGGUCAGAUGGCCCAUCAGGAUUUGGAUCUGACCUACUUUCUAGUUGGACUCCAUCCAUGAAGGGACCCACGACAUAUUCAAGUUCAUGGUAUCAAGCCAACAUGGAGGGAUGGAUGAGAAUUGCUCAGCAGACGCUGGCUGAACCCGCCUGCGUUCCUCACCCCGUCCUGGGUGCCACCUGGGGGUUAAAGUGAAGACCCAGUUUCCACACUCCAGACACUGCCAUGCAACAGAGAGUGCCACUUGUCCUGGCCUGUAUGCUCUCUGCGCCCCUGUGCUCUGUUCCAAUCUCCCUCAUGGUGUAGGAGGGCCGUCCUGAGUAUAGGGCUGGCUCUUAAAGGCACAAAAGGACAAUUUAAAAUGAAAGAAAAAGAAAAAAAAGUAGAGAAUGCCAAGUCCC